UGCAGCGACGCCGCGUGAGGGAUGACGGCCUUCGGGUUGUAAACCUCUUUCAGUAGGGACGAAGCGCAAGUGACGGUACCUAUAGAAGAAGGACCGGCCAACUACGUGCCAGCAGCCGCGGUAAUACGUAGGGUCCGAGCGUUGUCCGGAAUUACUGGGCGUAAAGAGCUCGUAGGUGGUUUGUCGCGUUGUUCGUGAAAACUCACAGCUCAACUGUGGGCGUGCGGGCGAUACGGGCAGACUAGAGUACUGCAGGGGAGACUGGAAUUCCUGGUGUAGCGGUGGAAUGCGCAGAUAUCAGGAGGAACACCGGUGGCGAAGGCGGGUCUCUGGGCAGUAACUGACGCUGAGGAGCGAAAGCGUGGGGAGCGAACAGGAUUAGAUACCCUGGUAGUCCACGCCGUAAACGGUGGGUACUAGGUGUGGGUUUCCUUCCUUGGGAUCCGUGCCGUAGCUAACGCAUUAAGUACCCCGCCUGGGGAGUACGGCCGCAAGGCUAAAACUCAAAGAAAUUGACGGGGGCCCGCACAAGCGGCGGAGCAUGUGGAUUAAUUCGAUGCAACGCGAAGAACCUUACCUGGGUUUGACAUGCACAGGACGUGCCUAGAGAUAGGUAUUCCCUUGUGGU
RNAcentral lists this ribosomal RNA (628 nucleotides) under Mycobacterium sp. So1Pw_1084. RNAcentral describes it as "bacterial SSU rRNA". It matches the Rfam family "Bacterial small subunit ribosomal RNA", at positions 387 to 1025 of the family's 1533-position model. The record is from RNAcentral. Lineage: Bacteria; Bacillati; Actinomycetota; Actinomycetes; Mycobacteriales; Mycobacteriaceae.